Molecule: ribosomal RNA, 440 nt
Filed under: uncultured bacterium
Lineage: Bacteria
Description: partial 16S ribosomal RNA
Rfam family: Bacterial small subunit ribosomal RNA
Source: RNAcentral
CCUACGGGUGGCAGCAGUGGGGGAUAUUGCACAAUGGGGGAAACCCUGAUGCAGCGACGCCGCGUGGGUGAAGAAGCGCCUCGGCGCGUAAAGCCCUGUCAGCAGGGAAGAAAAUGACGGUACCUGAAGAAGAAGCCCCGGCUAACUACGUGCCAGCAGCCGCGGUAAUACGUAGGGGGCAAGCGUUAUCCGGAUUUACGGGGUGUAAAGGGGGCGCCGACGGCGAGGCAAGCCAGGAGUGAAAGCCCGGGGCCCAACCCCGGGACUGCUCGUGGAACUGCGUGGCUAGAGUGCAGGAGGGGCAGGCGGAAGUCCUGGUGUAGCGGUGAAAUGCGUAGAUAUCAGGAGGAACACCGGGGGCGAAGGCGGCCUGCUGGACUGCAACUGACGUUGAGGCCCGAAAGCGUGGGGAGCAAACAGGAUUAGAUACCCGAGUAGUC